This 468-nucleotide ribosomal RNA is filed under the name uncultured bacterium. Its description in RNAcentral is "partial 16S ribosomal RNA". It matches the Rfam family "Bacterial small subunit ribosomal RNA", at positions 28 to 507 of the family's 1533-position model. The record is from RNAcentral.
GACGAACGCUGGCGGCGUGCUUAACACAUGCAAGUCGAACGGAAAGGCCCUGCUUUUGUGGGGUGCUCGAGUGGCGAACGGGUGAGUAACACGUGAGUAACCUGCCCUUGACUUUGGGAAAACUUCAGGAAACUGGGGCUAAUACCGGAUAGGAGCUCCUGCUGCAUGGUGGGGGUUGGAAAGUUUCGGCGGUUGGGGAUGGACUCGCGGCUUAUCAGCUUGUUGGUGGGGUAGUGGCUUACCAAGGCUUUGACAGGUAGCCGGCCUGAGAGGGUGACCGGCAACAUUGGGACUGAGAUACGGCCCAGACUCCUACGGGAGGCAGCAGUGGGGAAUAUUGCACAAUGGGCGGAAGCCUGAUGCAGCAACGCCGCGUGCGGGAUGACGGCCUUCGGGUUGUAAACCGCUUUCGCCUGUGACGAAGCGUGAGUGACGGUAAUGGGUAAAGAAGCACCGGCUAACUACGUG